GUCCACGCCCUAAACGAUGAACACUCGCUGUUGGCGAUACACAGUCAGCGGCUAAGCGAAAGCGUUAAGUGUUCCACCUGGGGAGUACGCCCGCAAGGGUGAAAACUCAAAAGGAAUUGACGGGGGUCCGCACAAGCGGAGGAGCAUGUGGUUUAAUUCGAUGAUACGCGAGGAACCUUACCCGGGCUUGAAAGUUAGUGAAUCAUUUAGAGAUAGAUGAAGUGAGCAAAUCAACACGAAAACUAGGUGCUGCAUGGCUGUCGU
Molecule: ribosomal RNA, 264 nt
Filed under: uncultured bacterium
Lineage: Bacteria
Description: partial 16S ribosomal RNA
Rfam family: Bacterial small subunit ribosomal RNA
Source: RNAcentral